Molecule: ribosomal RNA, 251 nt
Filed under: uncultured bacterium
Lineage: Bacteria
Description: partial 16S ribosomal RNA
Rfam family: Bacterial small subunit ribosomal RNA
Source: RNAcentral
UACGUAGGGGGCAAGCGUUGUCCGGAAUCAUUGGGCGUAAAGCGCGUGUAGGCGGCCCAUUAAGUCUGAUGUGAAAGCCCGGGGCUCACCCGGAAGUGCAUUGGAAACUGAUGGGCUGGAGUCCCGGAGAGGAGGGUGGAAUUCCUGGUGUAGCGGUGAAAUGCGUAGAUAUCUGGAGGAACACCGGUGGCGAAGGCGGCGUUCUGGACUGCUACUGACACUGAGGAACGAAAGCCAGGGGAGCAAACGGG